CUCUGUAUUAAUUGUAGUAAUUUUUACCAUAUAUCACUGUAUUUGCCUAGUUUAUUCAGUGUUUUGUUGUUUUUCUGUUUUGUUUCCUACUGUUUGUAUUCUCUGGGAGCCCUACUGGCUCCCUCAUUCCCUCACCACAGUUUGCUAUCCCCUCAGCCUUCUGGUAGGGUUGUUUAUUUCCCGACGUAUUUCCUCUGCCUGCACAGAACCUGUGACUCUCUCACUGCCGGGUACCGCUAUUUCAGCAGCCCCGGUGGGUCCCAAGAGCACAUUGCAGCACCCAUCUUGCGGUUGGCAGUUUUGCCGUGGCCAAUAUCGCUUGUUUGGGGGCGGGGUUAACCCGCUUGGUUGGCUGUGUUGCUGGGCAACCUAACGGUGUUCCUGAGGGAACUCUAAGUGAGCCUGUUUUCCUUUGGUCAUUGUGCCUAGGAGCCUUCCCGCUAUUCAGCUAAAUACUGUCAGUGCCUACAUAUUCUUUUUCACUGCCACUAUGGUACUGUUAUCCAGCACUGUGGGUAUGAGCUCCCUACUCUAUCCUCAGGGUAAUUUUCUC
Molecule: non-coding RNA, 553 nt
Organism: Pelobates cultripes (western spadefoot toad)
Lineage: Eukaryota; Metazoa; Chordata; Amphibia; Anura; Pelobatidae
Source: the annotation of a GenBank genome assembly